CAAUAGCGUAUAUUUAAGUUGUUGCAGUUAAAAAGCUCGUAGUUGGAUUUCGGAUGGGAUUUGCCGGUCCGUCGUUACGAUGUGCACUGGCCAGUCCUAUCUUGUUGUCGGGGACUAGCUCCUUGGAUUCACUUCCUGGGACUAGGAGCUGACGAGGUUACUUUGAGUAAAUUAGAGUGUUCAAAGCAAGCCUACGCUCUGAAUACAUUAGCAUGGAAUAACACGAUAGGGCUCUGGCUUAUCUUGUUGGUCUGUGAGACCAGAGUAAUGAUUAAGAGGGACAGUCGGGGACAUUCGUAUUUCAUUGUCAGAGGUGAAAUUCUUGGAUUUAUGAAAGACGAACUUCUGCGAAAGCAUUUGUCAAGGAUGUUUNCAUUAA
This 379-nucleotide ribosomal RNA is filed under the name uncultured eukaryote. RNAcentral describes it as "partial 18S ribosomal RNA". It matches the Rfam family "Eukaryotic small subunit ribosomal RNA", at positions 592 to 976 of the family's 1831-position model. The record is from RNAcentral.